GACGAACGCUGGCGGCGUGCUUAACACAUGCAAGUCGAACGGAAAGGCCCUGCUUUUGUGGGGUGCUCGAGUGGCGAACGGGUGAGUAACACGUGAGUAACCUGCCCUUGACUUUGGGAUAACUUCAGGAAACUGGGGCUAAUACCGGAUAGGAGCUCCUGCUGCAUGGUGGGGGUUGGAACGUUUCGGCGGAUGGGGAUGGACUCGCGGCUUAUCAGCUUGUUGGUGGGGUAGUGGCUUACCAAGCUUUGACGGGUAGCCGGCCUGAGAGGGUGACCGGCCACAUUGGGACUGAGAUACGGACCAGACUCCUACGGGAGGCAGCAGUGGGGAGUAUUGCACAAUGGGCGGAAGCCUGAUGCAGCGACGCCGCGUGCGGGAUGACGGCCUUCGGGUUGUAAACCGCUUUCGCCUGUGACGAAGCGUGAGUGACGGUAAUGGGUAAAGAAGCACCGGCUAACUACGUG
RNAcentral lists this ribosomal RNA (467 nucleotides) under uncultured bacterium. RNAcentral describes it as "partial 16S ribosomal RNA". It matches the Rfam family "Bacterial small subunit ribosomal RNA", at positions 28 to 507 of the family's 1533-position model. The record is from RNAcentral.